GAGUUUGAUCCUGGCUCAGAACGAACGUUGGCGGCGUGGAUUAGGCAUGCAAGUCGAACGAAUCCCACCGCCGUAGCAAUACGGGGGUGGGGGAAGUGGCGAAAGGGGCAGUAAGGCGUGGGUAACCUACCCCGGGGACCGGGAUAGCCUCCCUAACGGGAGGGUAAUACCGGGCGAUCUGGCCUCAGGGCAUCCUGGGGCCAGGAGAGGAGUUUCGCCUCGGGAGGGGCUCACGUGGUAUUAGCUAGACGGCGGGGUAACGGCCCACCGUGGCCGAGAUGCCUAGCGGGUGUGCGAGCACGACCCGCGCCACUGGCACUGCGACACUGGCCAGACUCCUACGGGAGGCUGCAGUCGAGGAUCUUCGGCAAUGGGCGCAACGUGACCGAGCGACGCCGCGUGCGCGAUGAAGGCCUUCGGGUCGUAAAGCGCUGUCGAGGGGGAGGAACGCCGCAAGGCUUGACCUAUCCCUGGAGGAAGCACGGGCUAAGUUCGUGCCAGCAGCCGCGGUAAGACGAACCGUGCGAACGUUGUUCGGAAUCACUGGGCUUAAAGGGCGCGUAGGCGGGCCCCCUUGUCCGGGGUGAAAGCUUUCGGCUUAACCGGAAAAGGGCCUCGGAAACGGGGGGCCUGGAGGGAGGUAGGGGCGGCCGGAACUUCCGGUGGAGCGGUGAAAUGCGUUGAUAUCGGAAGGAACGCCGGUGGCGAAAGCGGGCCGCUGGACCUCUGCUGACGCUGAGGCGCGAAAGCCAGGGGAGCGAACGGGAUUAGAUACCCCGGUAGUCCUGGCCCUAAACGAUGGGUACUGGGUAGGGGACUGGACAUGGGUUCCCUGCCGCAGCGAAAGUGGUAAGUACCCCGCCUGGGGAGUAUGGUCGCAAGGCUGAAACUCAAAGGAAUUGACGGGGGCUCACACAAGCGGUGGAGCAUGUGGCUUAAUUCGAGGCUACGCGAAGAACCUUAUCCUGGGCUUGACAUGUGCGAAAGCGCAGGGCAGUAGGGCGCGGAAACGUGUCCCCAACGGUACCCAGUCCGGAACCCUGUACAGGUGCUGCAUGGCUGUCGUCAGCUCGUGUCGGGAGAUGUUGGGUUAAGUCCCGUAACGAGCGAAACCCUUGUCUCCAGUUGCCAGCGGGUCAAGCCGGGGACUCUGGAGAGACUGCCGGUGUUAAACCGGAGGAAGGCGGGGAUGACGUCAAGUCCUCAUGGCC
Molecule: ribosomal RNA, 1211 nt
Filed under: uncultured bacterium
Lineage: Bacteria
Description: bacterial SSU rRNA
Rfam family: Bacterial small subunit ribosomal RNA
Source: RNAcentral